RNAcentral lists this ribosomal RNA (254 nucleotides) under uncultured bacterium. RNAcentral describes it as "partial 16S ribosomal RNA". It matches the Rfam family "Bacterial small subunit ribosomal RNA", at positions 76 to 334 of the family's 1533-position model. The record is from RNAcentral.
CCCUUCGGGGUACUCGAGCGGCGAACGGGUGAGUAACACGUGAGUAACCUGCCCCAAACUUUGGGAUAACCCUCGGAAACGGGGGCUAAUACCGAAUAUUACUUCUGGUCGCAUGGCUGGUGGUGGAAAGUUUUUCGGUUUGGGAUGGACUCGCGGCCUAUCAGCUUGUUGGUGGGGUGAUGGCCUACCAAGGCGACGACGGGUAGCCGGCCUGAGAGGGCGACCGGCCACACUGGGACUGAGACACGGCCCAG